This 497-nucleotide ribosomal RNA is filed under the name uncultured bacterium. Its description in RNAcentral is "partial 16S ribosomal RNA". It matches the Rfam family "Bacterial small subunit ribosomal RNA", at positions 28 to 507 of the family's 1533-position model. The record is from RNAcentral.
GAUGAACGCUGGCGGCGUGCCUAAUACAUGCAAGUCGAGCGAACGGACGAGAAGCUUGCUUCUCUGAUGUUAGCGGCGGACGGGUGAGUAACACGUGGAUAACCUCCCUAUAAGACUGGGAUAACUUCGGGAAACCGGAGCUAAUACCGGAUAAUAUUUUGAACCGCAUGGUUCAAAAGUGAAAGACGGUCUUGCUGUCACUUAUAGAUGGAUCCGCGCUGCAUUAGCUAGUUGGUAAGGUAACGGCUUACCAAGGCAACGAUGCAUAGCCGACCUGAGAGGGUGAUCGGCCACACUGGAACUGAGACACGGUCCAGACUCCUACGGGAGGCAGCAGUAGGGAAUCUUCCGCAAUGGGCGAAAGCCUGACGGAGCAACGCCGCGUGAGUGAUGAAGGUCUUCGGAUCGUAAAACUCUGUUAUUAGGGAAGAAAAUAUGUGUAAGUAACUGUGCACAGCUUGACGGUACCUAAUCAGAAAGCAACGGCUAACUACGUG